This is a long non-coding RNA of Pteropus alecto (black flying fox), 903 nucleotides long. RefSeq lists it as uncharacterized. The transcript is spliced from 2 exons. Lineage: Eukaryota; Metazoa; Chordata; Mammalia; Chiroptera; Pteropodidae. The record is from RefSeq and is a predicted model, not a curated record.
CGAUCUUCUGCGGCGGCAGCGUCUCUCUCUCCCGGCGCCCGCCACCCAGGCCCUCGACCCCGCCGCCACCGCCACCCGCGCUGCCGGCCAGCGACGCCCAGCCGAGCAAGACGCACGCGGAGAAAGACGCGCCAAAUCCUGGCGGGCACCCGACCUAUCCUGUCCUCUGGAGCAAGAUAAGGAAACAGGGACCCUGGACCCAGUGCAAGCGGCUGGAUAGCGGAUCCUGCUAGCCCGGGCUUUAGUCGCACCCCUCCUUCCGCAGCCCAGCGCCAGCACCCUCCCUCUGGGCUGCGCGAGUUCGCCCUGGAGUCGCGGCGUCGCCGGGUUCCCCGUGUCCCCACACACAGACCCUCUGCCAGCGCGCUGCAAGCAGGAAAGCGAAACUUGUUGCUCCGAAAGACAAGGGAACGGUUCGGCUUCUGGAGGUGGCAAAAGCUUGGGAAGCAUCUCCAAGGUGUCCUCGGGGCUUUGUUUGCUAAAUAAGGUGACUAAAUAAAGAGACUUUCUCCCCAAAUUGUUACCCCGAGAGUCCCCUGGGUGCAGGCUCAUGCUCCACUCCGACCCGAGCGCUUGGAAAUCCAACCGCUGCUCUUCUCGGGCGCGCGAGACACUGCUCUGGGUUCUGCAAUGCCGAAAAAGGUCCUGCCUUGGAGACCCAGUCCUGCCUCUGGUCACAGCCACAACAGCAGUGUAGACCAGGAUGGAAACGGCCGCGGAGAAGUCGGUGGCCGGGGGAGGCUCGCGGGCGUCCGCGGCGCCGCCGGGCAGGUCCGAAUGGGACUUGACCCUCUGAAUGCGGUGACACACCGAGGUCGUUUGCCAUGUGAACGUGCUACAUUGGACAGAAGAAUUCUGACACUUAAGUCCCGCAAAUUAAAAUAAAUUGAAAAUGUUUUAAAA